GAUUUAAAGCCAUAAACCAGGAGGAAUCAGUUAGCAGGACACAGAGAUCUCAUAGGACCCGUCUGCGCAGAGCUUGGAGAUUUGUCUCUAAGCAGAGUCCGGGAUGGUGGCCCGUCCUGUCCGGCUCACCCAGGAGAAAGUGACGGGUGCCAUGGAGCAGGGGUUACGGCCAGGUCCUCAGCCGGCGUGCGGAGCCCUACCUCAGCAGGCCUUCAAGCUCUGCACGGCGGGCCAGAGAAGCGGGACCCUUCCUCCACCCUGUCACCGGAUUUGUUCUCCCACUCUCUCCUGUCCUGGGCAGAGCUCACCUCUACUCUGCUGAGAACGAGGCCUCCGGGCGGGCUCACUUGCCUCAGUUCCGCUCUUUUGGCUGGAGCCCCCUGCCCUGAGCCUACCUUUCUCCGGGACCUUCUGGCUGGGCGGCGCCCCAGCUCUGGGGCUCUGGUGGCCCAUGGUCCCCAGGUCACCCCCACGCUGGAGAUGGGGAAACUGAGGUUCAAAGAGUUUAAGCAACGUGAUGGAGCC
Molecule: long non-coding RNA, 525 nt
Organism: Heterocephalus glaber (naked mole-rat)
Lineage: Eukaryota; Metazoa; Chordata; Mammalia; Rodentia; Bathyergidae
Source: Ensembl